RNAcentral lists this ribosomal RNA (429 nucleotides) under Chloroflexota bacterium. RNAcentral describes it as "Chloroflexi bacterium partial 16S ribosomal RNA". It matches the Rfam family "Bacterial small subunit ribosomal RNA", at positions 355 to 776 of the family's 1533-position model. The record is from RNAcentral. Lineage: Bacteria; Bacillati; Chloroflexota.
UGGGGAAUAUUGCACAAUGGGCGCAAGCCUGAUGCAGCCAUGCCGCGUGUGUGAAGAAGGCCUUCGGGUUGUAAAGCACUUUCAGCGGGGUGGAAGGCGAUAAGGUUAAUAACCUUGUCGAUUGACGUUACCGACAGAAGAAGCACCGGCUAACUCCGUGCCAGCAGCCGCGGUAAUACGGAGGGUGCAAGCGUUAAUCGGAAUUACUGGGCGUAAAGCGCACGCAGGCGGUUGAUUGAGUCAGAUGUGAAAUCCCCGGGCUUAACCCGGGAAUUGCAUCUGAUACUGGUCAGCUAGAGUCUUGUAGAGGGGGGUAGAAUUCCAUGUGUAGCGGUGAAAUGCGUAGCGAUGUGGAGGAAUACCGGUGGCGAAGGCGGCCCCCUGGACAAAGACUGCCGCUCAGGUGCGAAAGCGUGGGGAGCAAACAGG